Molecule: ribosomal RNA, 373 nt
Filed under: uncultured organism
Description: partial 16S ribosomal RNA
Rfam family: Bacterial small subunit ribosomal RNA
Source: RNAcentral
GUAGGUGGCAAGCGUUGUCCGGAAUUAUUGGGCGUAAAGCGCGCGCAGGCGGGUUCUUUAAGUCUGAUGUGAAAGCCCACGGGCUCAACCGUGGAGGGUCAUUGGAAACUGGAGAACUUGAGUACAGAAGAGGGAAGCGGAAUUCCACGUGUAGCGGUGAAAUGCGUAGAGAUGUGGAGGAACACCAGUGGCGAAGGCGGCUUUCUGGUCUGUAACUGACGCUGAGGCGCGAAAGCGUGGGGAGCAAACAGGAUUAGAUACCCUGGUAGUCCACGCCGUAAACGAUGAGUGCUAAGUGUUAGGGGGUUUCCGCCCCUUAGUGCUGCAGCUAACGCAUUAAGCACUCCGCCUGGGGAGUACGGCCGCAAGGCUG